This 253-nucleotide ribosomal RNA is filed under the name uncultured bacterium. RNAcentral's name for it is "partial 16S ribosomal RNA". It matches the Rfam family "Bacterial small subunit ribosomal RNA", at positions 524 to 776 of the family's 1533-position model. The record is from RNAcentral.
UACAUAGGGUCCGAGCGUUGUCCGGAAUUAUUGGGCGUAAAGGGCUCGUAGGCGGUUUGUCGCGUCGGGAGUGAAAACACCGGGCUUAACUCGGUGCUUGCUUUCGAUACGGGCAGACUAGAGGCAUUCAGGGGAGAACGGAAUUCCUGGUGUAGCGGUGAAAUGCGCAGAUAUCAGGAGGAACACCGGUGGCGAAGGCGGUUCUCUGGGCAUUACCUGACGCUGAGGAGCGAAAGUGUGGGGAGCGAACAGG